This 501-nucleotide ribosomal RNA is filed under the name uncultured bacterium. RNAcentral's name for it is "partial 16S ribosomal RNA". It matches the Rfam family "Bacterial small subunit ribosomal RNA", at positions 30 to 523 of the family's 1533-position model. The record is from RNAcentral.
AUUGAACGCUGGCGGCAGGCUUAACACAUGCAAGUCGAGCGGGGGAAGGUAGCUUGCUACCGGACCUAGCGGCGGACGGGUGAGUAAUGCUUAGGAAUCUGCCUAUUAGUGGGGGACAACAUCUCGAAAGGGAUGCUAAUACCGCAUACGUCCUACGGGAGAAAGCAGGGGAUCUUCGGACCUUGCGCUAAUAGAUGAGCCUAAGUCGGAUUAGCUAGUUGGUGGGGUAAAGGCCUACCAAGGCGACGAUCUGUAGCGGGUCUGAGAGGAUGAUCCGCCACACUGGGACUGAGACACGGCCCAGACUCCUACAGGAGGCAGCAGUGGGGAAUAUUGGACAAUGGGGGGAACCCUGAUCCAGCCAUGCCGCGUGUGUGAAGAAGGCCUUAUGGUUGUAAAGCACUUUAAGCGAGGAGGAGGCUACUCUAGUUAAUACCUAGGGAUAGUGGACGUUACUCGCGGAAUAAGCACCGGCUAACUCUGUGCCAGCCGCCGCAGUAA